CUUUGCAAUAUUUCGAUCUGUGUUGGCUCUUCAUUUUCAGUGGCUUGCUGUGUUUAUAAGAAAUGCAACUGGCCAUUUAACAGCACUGAGGCUCAAUGCAAAUGGAUACUAAAAUCCAGAUGGUCAGGAGAAUGAAGACUUCCAUAUGCAAGAAUGACAGCAGUAAGCAUGGCAGUCAUGCUUAGCGUGCUAAACAGAGAGGGCCUGUCAUCUCUCCUUUCUACUUCCUCCCCCAAUCAACCCCCACCUGCCUCGAUCCCACCCAUGCUCUUUGUUCCUAGACUGCACAUCCUGUGUCUUCACUGGGGGCUCUGAGGCUGGAGAUUGAAGCCUGUGAUGAAGAAUAUGCAGUUGAACACUGAUUUAUUCUGUUCUAAGAAGUAAUG
Molecule: long non-coding RNA, 386 nt
Organism: Myxocyprinus asiaticus (Chinese sucker)
Lineage: Eukaryota; Metazoa; Chordata; Actinopteri; Cypriniformes; Catostomidae
Exons: 2
Source: RefSeq, a predicted model, not a curated record